RNAcentral lists this ribosomal RNA (429 nucleotides) under Actinomycetes bacterium. RNAcentral describes it as "Actinobacteria bacterium partial 16S ribosomal RNA". It matches the Rfam family "Bacterial small subunit ribosomal RNA", at positions 355 to 776 of the family's 1533-position model. Lineage: Bacteria; Bacillati; Actinomycetota; Actinomycetes. The record is from RNAcentral.
UAGGGAAUCUUCCGCAAUGGGCGAAAGCCUGACGGAGCAACGCCGCGUGAGUGAAGAAGGUCUUCGGAUCGUAAAACUCUGUUAUUAGGGAAGAACAAAUGUGUAAGUAACUAUGCACGUCUUGACGGUACCUAAUCAGAAAGCCACGGCUAACUACGUGCCAGCAGCCGCGGUAAUACGUAGGUGGCAAGCGUUAUCCGGAAUUAUUGGGCGUAAAGCGCGCGUAGGCGGUUUUUUAAGUCUGAUGUGAAAGCCCACGGCUCAACCGUGGAGGGUCAUUGGAAACUGGAAAACUUGAGUGCAGAAGAGGAAAGUGGAAUUCCAUGUGUAGCGGUGAAAUGCGCAGAGAUAUGGAGGAACACCAGUGGCGAAGGCGACUUUCUGGUCUGUAACUGACGCUGAUAUGCGAAAGCGUGGGGAUCAAACAGG